This 195-nucleotide ribosomal RNA is filed under the name Triticum aestivum (bread wheat). Its description in RNAcentral is "partial small subunit ribosomal RNA". Lineage: Eukaryota; Viridiplantae; Streptophyta; Magnoliopsida; Poales; Poaceae. The record is from RNAcentral.
AUGGGGAAAGAGACGGAGACGCCGCAUUUGCCGGGGAUGUUGGCGGCGUUACCCAUGCUGAUGCCCGACCCCGCCAGGUUCUUGAGGCAGUUGCACGCCGCCUUCCGGUCGGCCGGGGUGGACGCCUUGGCGUUCAGGGUCCUCACCCCGCUGCAGCACGCCCCCGAGGGUGCCGACGCUUGCCCCCUCGCGUAG